UACGAGGGGGGCGAGCGUUGUUCGGAAUUAUUGGGCGUAAAGAGCGUGUAGGCGGUCCGGUAAGUCAGCUGUGAAAGUCAAGGGCUCAACCCUUGAAUGCCGGUUGAUACUGUCGGGCUAGAGUCCGGAAGAGGCGAGUGGAAUUCCCGGUGUAGCGGUGAAAUGCGCAGAUAUCGGGAGGAACACCAAUGGCGAAGGCAGCUCGCUGGGACGGUACUGACGCUGAGACGCGAAAGCGUGGGGAGCAAACAGG
RNAcentral lists this ribosomal RNA (253 nucleotides) under uncultured bacterium. Its description in RNAcentral is "partial 16S ribosomal RNA". It matches the Rfam family "Bacterial small subunit ribosomal RNA", at positions 524 to 776 of the family's 1533-position model. The record is from RNAcentral.